RNAcentral lists this ribosomal RNA (520 nucleotides) under uncultured bacterium. Its description in RNAcentral is "bacterial SSU rRNA". It matches the Rfam family "Bacterial small subunit ribosomal RNA", at positions 777 to 1297 of the family's 1533-position model. The record is from RNAcentral.
AAUAGAUACCCGGUAGUCACGCCGUAAACGUUGGGCGCUAGAUGUGGGACCAUUCCACGGUUUCCGCGUCGUAGCUAACGCAUUAAGCGCCCCGCCUGGGGAGUACGGCCGCAAGGCUAAAACUCAAAGGAAUUGACGGGGGGCCCGCACAAGCGGCGGAGCAUGCGGAUUAAUUCGAUGCAACGCGAAGAACCUUACCAAGGCUUGACAUAUGCGAGAACGCUCUAGAAAUAGAGAACUCUUUGGACACUCGUAUACAGGUGGUGCAUGGUUGUCGUCAGCUCGUGUCGUGAGAUGUUGGGUUAAGUCCCGCAACGAGCGCAACCCUCGUCGCAUGUUGCCAGCACGUAAUGGUGGGAACUCAUGUGAGACUGCCGGGGUCAACUCGGAGGAAGGUGGGGAUGACGUCAAAUCAUCAUGCCCCUUAUGUCUUGGGCUUCACGCAUGCUACAAUGGCUGGUACAGAGAGUGGCGAGCCUGUGAGGGUGAGCGAAUCUCGGAAAGCCGGUCUCAGUUCGGU